UUAAAAAUAAGUUAAUAAAACUUUUAGACUCAUAAUCUAAAAAUAGAAAUAAAUAUUUCUUUUUUAUC
Molecule: transfer RNA, 68 nt
Filed under: Aegilips sp. ZJUH 20220002
Lineage: Eukaryota; Metazoa; Arthropoda; Insecta; Hymenoptera; Figitidae
Description: tRNA-Met
Source: RNAcentral